GAUAAGCCUGGGAAACUGGGUCUAAUACCGGAUACGAGCUUCCACCGCAUGGCGGGAGCUGGAAAGGGUCUCCGGUCGGGGAUGGGCCCGCGGCCUAUCAGCUUGUUGGCGGGGUCACGGCCCACCAAGGCGACGACGGGUAGCCGGCCUGAGAGGGUGGACGGCCACACUGGGACUGAGACACGGCCCAGACUCCUACGGGAGGCAGCAGUAGGGAAUCUUGUCCAAUGGGCGCAAGCCUGAGACAGCGACGCCGCGUGCGGGACGAAGGCCUUCGGGUUGUAAACCGCUUUCAGCAGGGACGAAGCGAAAGUGACGGUACCUGCAGAAGAAGGUCCGGCCAACUACGUGCCAGCAGCCGCGGUAAUACGUAGGGACCGAGCGUUGUCCGGAUUCAUUGGGCGUAAAGAGCUCGUAGGCGGCCACUCAAGUCGAACGUGAAAACUCGGGGCUCAACCCCGAGCCCGCGUUCGAUACUGGGCGGCUAGAGUCUGGUAGGGGGAUCUGGAAUUCCUGGUGUAGCGGUGGAAUGCGCAGAUAUCAGGAGGAACACCGGUGGCGAAGGCGGGAUCCUGGGCCAGUACUGACGCUGAGGAGCG
RNAcentral lists this ribosomal RNA (599 nucleotides) under uncultured bacterium. Its description in RNAcentral is "bacterial SSU rRNA". It matches the Rfam family "Bacterial small subunit ribosomal RNA", at positions 142 to 755 of the family's 1533-position model. The record is from RNAcentral.